GUAGGUGGCAAGCGUUGUCCGGAAUUAUUGGGCGUAAAGCGCGCGCAGGCGGUCCUUUAAGUCUGAUGUGAAAGCCCACGGCUCAACCGUGGAGGGUCAUUGGAAACUGGGGGACUUGAGUACAGAAGAGGAAAGCGGAAUUCCAAGUGUAGCGGUGAAAUGCGUAGAGAUUUGGAGGAACACCAGUGGCGAAGGCGGCUUUCUGGUCUGUAACUGACGCUGAGGCGCGAAAGCGUGGGGAACAAACAGGAUUAGAUACCCUGGUAGUCCACGCCGUAAACGAUGAGUGCUAAGUGUUAGGGGGUUUCCCGCCCCCCUUAGUGCUGCAGCUAACGCAUUAAGCACUCCGCCUGGGGGAGUACGGCCGCAAGGCUG
RNAcentral lists this ribosomal RNA (375 nucleotides) under uncultured organism. RNAcentral's name for it is "partial 16S ribosomal RNA". It matches the Rfam family "Bacterial small subunit ribosomal RNA", at positions 527 to 896 of the family's 1533-position model. The record is from RNAcentral.